Molecule: ribosomal RNA, 1208 nt
Filed under: metagenome
Description: bacterial LSU rRNA
Rfam family: Bacterial large subunit ribosomal RNA
Source: RNAcentral
UUAACUUCGGGAGAAGGUGCGCCCCGGUAGAUUGUAGUGGCUUGCCCACGAAGGUCGAUGGGGUUGCAGUGAAAAGGUGGCUGCGACUGUUUAACAAAAACACAGCACUCUGCAAACACGAAAGUGGACGUAUAGGGUGUGACUCCUGCCCGGUGCCGGAAGGUUAAUUGAUGGGGUGCAAGCUCUUGAUCGAAGCCCCGGUAAACGGCGGCCGUAACAAUAACGGUCCUAAGGUAGCGAAAUUCCUUGUCGGGUAAGUUCCGACCCGCACGAAUGGAGUAACGAUGGCCACACUGUCUCCACCUGGGACUCAGCGAAAUUGAAAUGGUUGUGAAGAUGCAAUCUACCCGCGGCUAGACGGAAAGACCCCGUGCACCUUUACUGUAGCUUUACAUUGGACUUUGACAAGACGUGUGUAGGAUAGGUGGGAGACUAUGAAGUGGGAACGCUAGUUCUCAUGGAGUCAACCUUGAAAUACCACCCUCGUGUUGUUGAGGUUCUAACCUUGGUCCAUCAUCUGGAUUGGGGACAGUGUAUGGUAGGCAGUUUGACUGGGGCGGUCUCCUCCCAAAGAGUAACGGAGGAGUUCGAAGGUAUCCUAGAUACGGUCGGAAAUCGUAUUGAUAGUGCAAUGGCAUAAGGAUGCUUGACUGCGAGACUGACACGUCGAGCAGGUGCGAAAGCAGGACAUAGUGAUCCGGUGGUUCUGUAUGGAAGGGCCAUCGCUCAACGGAUAAAAGGUACGCCGGGGAUAACAGGCUGAUACCGCCCAAGAGUUCAUAUCGACGGCGGUGUUUGGCACCUCGAUGUCGGCUCAUCACAUCCUGGGGCUGUAGCCGGUCCCAAGGGUAUGGCUGUUCGCCAUUUAAAGUGGUACGUGAGCUGGGUUCAAAACGUCGUGAGACAGUUUGGUCCCUAUCUACCGUGGGCGCUGGAAGUUUGAGGGGGGCUGCUUCUAGUACGAGAGGACCGAAGUGGACGCACCUCUGGUGUACCGGUUGUCACGCCAGUGGCAUAGCCGGGUAGCUAUGUGCGGAAAAGAUAAUCGCUGAAAGCAUCUAAGCGAGAAACUUGCCUCAAGAUAAGACUUCCCUGGAGACUUGAUCUCCCUAAAGGGUCGUUGCAGACCACAACGUUGAUAGGCUGGGUGUGUAAGCGCAGUAAUGCGUUGAGCUAACCAGUACUAAUUGCCCGUGAGGCUUGAUCCG